CUACGGGAGGCAGCAGUGGGGAAUCUUGGACAAUGGGCGCAAGCCUGAUCCAGCCAUGCCGCGUGUGUGAUGAAGGCCUUAGGGUCGUAAAGCACUUUCGCCAGAGAUGAUAAUGACAGUAUCUGGUAAAGAAACCCCGGCUAACUCCGUGCCAGCAGCCGCGGUAAUACGGAGGGGGUUAGCGUUGUUCGGAAUUACUGGGCGUAAAGCGCACGUAGGCGGAUUAGUCAGUCAGAGGUGAAAUCCCAGGGCUCAACCCUGGAACUGCCUUUGAUACUGCUAGUCUUGAGUUCGAGAGAGGUGAGUGGAAUUCCGAGUGUAGAGGUGAAAUUCGUAGAUAUUCGGAGGAACACCAGUGGCGAAGGCGGCUCACUGGCUCGAUACUGACGCUGAGGUGCGAAAGUGUGGGGAGCAAWCAGGAUUAKAUACCCUGGUAKUCCACACCGUAAACGAUGAAUGCCA
Molecule: ribosomal RNA, 462 nt
Filed under: uncultured Alphaproteobacteria bacterium
Lineage: Bacteria; Pseudomonadati; Pseudomonadota; Alphaproteobacteria
Description: bacterial SSU rRNA
Rfam family: Bacterial small subunit ribosomal RNA
Source: RNAcentral